This 215-nucleotide ribosomal RNA is filed under the name uncultured Thauera sp. Its description in RNAcentral is "partial 16S ribosomal RNA". It matches the Rfam family "Bacterial small subunit ribosomal RNA", at positions 1168 to 1382 of the family's 1533-position model. Lineage: Bacteria; Pseudomonadati; Pseudomonadota; Betaproteobacteria; Rhodocyclales; Zoogloeaceae. The record is from RNAcentral.
GGAAGUGGGGGAUGACGUCAAGUCCUCAUGGCCCUUAUGGGUAGGGCUUCACACGUCAUACAAUGGUCGGUACAGAGGGUUGCCAAGCCGCGAGGUGGAGCCAAUCCCUUAAAGCCGAUCGUAGUCCGGAUCGUAGUCUGCAACUCGACUACGUGAAGUCGGAAUCGCUAGUAAUCGCAGAUCAGCAUGCUGCGGUGAAUACGUUCCCGGGUCUU